CGAUGACGGUCUGAGGAGAAUGCGAAUCGUGACGGACUCAACAUCUGAAGCGCCUUCAGAAAAUACUUCUGUCUCACGCAAGAAACGGCGAGUCCAUCCUCACGCAGAGCCAACAGAGCCGCCUGAGACACACACAAGAGUCCAGCUUUACACAUCUCAGCAGGAACAAAUGAGUUUCUUAUGGUCACCUGGAGGUCAGGAGGAGGCACGUAUAUGAUCUGGUCGAGUCGUCCAGGUCUGAGCAGAGCGCUGUCCAGAGCCUCGGGUCUGUUAGUGGCGGCCACAAUCAAAACAUCCUUAUUGCACACUUCCUGCAGCUCCAUCUGAAAUGUGCUCCGUCUCUCCAGCGUUCGCACGCCCACCCCAUCCAGCUCCGUCAGCAGAACCGACAGAACCUGCGACUGCACGCUGUGGGAAGAAGAAGAGCCGUCCUCUCGAGAGCCCACCAUACUGUCCACCUCAUCCAGGAACACGAUAGAUGGAGCACACGCUCGCGCCUGAGCGAACAGCUGACCGCAGAAGCGUACCUGACAGAUCUACUAGAUGUCCCUCGUGCACGUAUAUACCGUCCAGCAGCUCCUGGAGACUCCGCUCUGAAACCCUCUUCUUGUGCUCCAGACGCUGCACGAACACCUUCAGCUUCACACAG
Danio rerio (zebrafish) is the source of this 649-nucleotide non-coding RNA. The record is from Ensembl. NCBI's taxonomy places the organism in Eukaryota, Metazoa, Chordata, Actinopteri, Cypriniformes, Danionidae.